This 298-nucleotide signal recognition particle RNA is filed under the name Propithecus coquereli (Coquerel's sifaka). Its description in RNAcentral is "Metazoan signal recognition particle RNA (ENSPCOG00000005097.1)". It matches the Rfam family "Metazoan signal recognition particle RNA". Rfam says of the family: The signal recognition particle (SRP) is a universally conserved ribonucleoprotein. It is involved in the co-translational targeting of proteins to membranes. Lineage: Eukaryota; Metazoa; Chordata; Mammalia; Primates; Indriidae. The record is from RNAcentral.
GCUGGGUGUGGUGGUGUGCGCCUGUAGUCCCAGCUACUUGGGAGGCUGAGGCUGCGGGGAUUGCUUGAGUCCAGGAAUUCUGGGCUGUAGUGUGCUAUGCCGAUCAGGUGUCUGAACUAAGUUCGUCAUCAAUAUGGUGACCUCCCAGGAGCAGGGAACCAUCAGGUUGCCUAGGGAGGGGUGAACCAGGCCAGGUUGGAAAUGGUGCAAGUCAACUCCCAGGCUGAUCAAUAGUGGGAAUGCGCCCGUGAAUAGCCGCUGCACUUUAGCCUGGGCAACAUAGCGAGACCCUGUCUCU